CUUGAACCGCAUGGUUCAAGGAUGAAAGACGGUUUCUGCUGUCGCUUACAGAUGGACCCGCGGCGCAUUAGCUAGUUGGUGGGGUAAUGGCUCACCAACGCCACGAUGCUUAGCCGACCUGAGAGGGUGAUCGGCCACACUGGGACUGAUACACGGCCCAAACUCCUACGGGAGGCAGCAGUAGGGAAUCUUCCGCAAUGGACGAAAGUCUGACGGAGCAACGCCGCGUGAGUGAUGAAGGUUUUCGGAUCAUA
RNAcentral lists this ribosomal RNA (254 nucleotides) under Bacillus pumilus. RNAcentral describes it as "partial 16S ribosomal RNA". It matches the Rfam family "Bacterial small subunit ribosomal RNA", at positions 180 to 427 of the family's 1533-position model. The record is from RNAcentral. Lineage: Bacteria; Bacillati; Bacillota; Bacilli; Caryophanales; Bacillaceae.